RNAcentral lists this unclassified non-coding RNA (777 nucleotides) under Hevea brasiliensis (rubber tree). The record is from RNAcentral. Lineage: Eukaryota; Viridiplantae; Streptophyta; Magnoliopsida; Malpighiales; Euphorbiaceae.
GAAAAGUACAUGAUCUUUAACUUCACUAUGGAAAACCAGUUGAUCUAUCAUAUUAAACAAAAAUUUAUAUUAUCGCAAUUACAUGCAAAGGCAAAUGAACAUAAUGAGAUGAUUUUUAAGGAAACUGGAUGUGGGAGUUGAAAGGAGAGAUGAAAAAGUAAAGGUCCAAAAAACACUUGAGACCACAAGCUGAUUUUUCACUUGGGGUCUAUGUGAAAAUGCUGAUUAUAUAUAACGCCAAUUGACUACUGAUCAGAGUGGAAUAAUCUUGGUAAACUCAGUUGAGUAAGUUUUAAGAAAGGUUAUUUCAUUUCUUGAUGUCUGACAUGAAAAUUUAAAUUUUCAUGGAAACUUAAUAGUGAAUGAUGAUUAAAAUGCUUGAAUGAUCUGAAUUAAUGUCAUCCUGAGUUGAGUAAAGCAACAAAUUUGCUUUUUUUACUAAUCAACUUAAUGCAAAAAUUUUCUAAAAUGGAUAAUUGUUAGCGAUGCUUUUGCUGGAAAGUUAAGAGUUAUUAAAGAAAAGUAAGACUGAACUGGAUGGUGAUGUCUAAUUAGAUGAAGGAUCACACAAUGGAAGGUGCAACUUGAAGUGCAUACAAUGAUUGGGAGCUGUAGAUAGCAGUUAGCACCAUUUGGGAUGAUGGAGUUGUCUAGGGUGCUUCAAUGUUCUUUGGUUGAAGAAGGCUAAAAAGGACGUGAGAAAUGGCAGCUAGAGAAGUGGGAUUCUGGAGAAUAAAAUCUGGAAAAGGCAACCGUAAAAAAGAGCCCCUUUAUAUU